This 486-nucleotide ribosomal RNA is filed under the name uncultured Desulfobulbus sp. RNAcentral's name for it is "bacterial SSU rRNA". It matches the Rfam family "Bacterial small subunit ribosomal RNA", at positions 900 to 1382 of the family's 1533-position model. Lineage: Bacteria; Pseudomonadati; Thermodesulfobacteriota; Desulfobulbia; Desulfobulbales; Desulfobulbaceae. The record is from RNAcentral.
CUUAAAGGAAUUGACGGGGCCGCACAAGCGGUGGAGUAUGUGGUUUAAUUCGAUGCAACGCGAAGAACCUUACCUGGUCUUGACAUCCCGGAGACCCUUAGGAAACUAGGGGGUGCUUCCAUCUGGAAGAAUCUGGAGACAGGUGCUGCAUGGCUGUCGUCAGCUCGUGUCGUGAGAUGUUGGGUUAAGUCCCGCAACGAGCGCAACCCUUGCCUUUAGUUGCCAGCAGUUCGGCUGGGCACUCUAAAGGGACUGCCGGUGUUAAACCGGAGGAAGGUGGGGAUGACGUCAAGUCCUCAUGGCCUUUAUGACCAGGGCUACACACGUACUACAAUGGCCGAUACAAAGGGCAGCGACACUGCGAGGUGAAGCCAAUCCCGUAAAAUCGGUCUCAGUCCGGAUUGGAGUCUGCAACUCGACUCCAUGAAGUUGGAAUCGCUAGUAAUCGUGGAUCAGCAUGCCACGGUGAAUACGUUCCCGGGCCUU